This 425-nucleotide ribosomal RNA is filed under the name uncultured bacterium. RNAcentral's name for it is "bacterial SSU rRNA". It matches the Rfam family "Bacterial small subunit ribosomal RNA", at positions 356 to 773 of the family's 1533-position model. The record is from RNAcentral.
GGGGAAUCUUGCGCAAUGCGCGAAAGCGUGACGCAGCAACGCCGCGUGAGGGAAGAAGGCUCUAGGGUUGUAAACCUCUUUCAGUGGGGACGAAGGUGUUCCGGUGAAUAGCCGUGAAGACUGACGGUACCCACAGAAGAAGCUCCGGCUAACUACGUGCCAGCAGCCGCGGUAAUACGUAGGGAGCGAGCGUUGUCCGGAAUCAUUGGGCGUAAAGCGCGCGUAGGCGGCCCGAUCAGUCUGUUGUGAAAGUCCAAGGCUCAACCUUGGAAGGCCAAUGGAUACUGUCGGGCUAGAAUUCGGAAGAGGCAAGUGGAAUUCCUGGUGUAGCGGUGGAAUGCGCAGAUAUCAGGAGGAACACCAAUAGCGAAGGCAGCUUGCUGGGACGAUAUUGACGCUGAGGUGCGAAAGCGUGGGGAGCGAAC